This 1497-nucleotide long non-coding RNA is filed under the name Homo sapiens (human). Its description in RNAcentral is "long intergenic non-protein coding RNA 3060". The record is from RNAcentral. Lineage: Eukaryota; Metazoa; Chordata; Mammalia; Primates; Hominidae.
GAAUCUAACGCCUGAUGACCUAUCACUGUCUCCCAUCACUCCCAGAUGGGACCGUCUAGUUGCAGGAAAACAAGCUCAGGGCUCCCACUGAUUCUACAUUAUGGAAAUUUCAUGAUCCGACUGGAAUCCAGGAAAAUCACAGCUGAAAUACAAAACAUCAGCCCUUAUCUCCAGCACUGUACAUGGCAGAAACUGCUUUUAUUCUAGAUGUCUAGAUCCAGAUCAACUGCAUGGGGUCCUACAGGAGAAGACCAAGAGACAGAGACAGAGACCAGGGAAAAUGACCGAUACCAUUCCUUCUCAGGGAUGCUACACACCCAUGGGGCAGAGGAUAAGAGGUUCCUGAAGGCAUCACCCCUCUGGCCAUGGCUGGUGUGCAGACAAAGCUGGAGAUUUGGAGUAGCCUGUUGUCCCACUGACUCUUAGACUGCCCCAGCUAAGAAGAACCAACUCCUCCUAUUACAGAUGAAAUAAACAAAGCUACUCAAGCUCUCUGGCAUCGCCCUGACGGUCAUCAUGUGCUUCACAUUUCCCUCCUGCCCCCCCUGAUUUUCUGGAAAAGGGAGAAACACACCAAAGAGAGUUCUAGAAAAAAUGAGAAUAAGAAAUUUACCUGUAAUCCUUGCUCAAGAAACUGAAGCUCUGAGGCCACAUUGUUCCAGCCUUUUGCAGCUCCUGCAUGUGGAUACCAGCACCAGCAGCUCCCCGACCAGGGGCCCCAGCUAAGCCCUCCCAGAGGAUGAUCUUGGCUUUGUACAUGGGGUGUCAAUAUCCUGUGAGUCCAACAGAGGGAAGACAUAAGAAUAUGGUCACCCAGGUAAGUGGUGGAUAGCUGAGUGACUGUAUUCUUGCUCACCACCACCCCCAUCAGAGGGGGUGUCUUUGUUUCUAGUUGGGGGAAGCUUUGGUAGACUGUCAGUAAUUCCUCCCUGUGUCCCCCAUCCUGUGUCAGGUAACAGACAUUUGUCUUAAUGUAUUCACUGUGUCAUCAGAAGCCACUUCUUAUCCAUCCUUGUGAAUACUUGAUGAAUGAGGAGUCAAUGAUUAAAUGAAGGAAAGAAAAGAGACUGAAAAGGAGGUAUGAGAAUGGGAAAGACGAGUGGAAAGACGAGAUAGAUAUUGCCCUAAAGACACAGUAAGCCAUCAAAUAUCUGUUUUCUAGUCCCCUUCUGGGCCCUCUUGGAUUUUGAAAAAGGGAGGAAGAAAUUGGAAAAAUUACCAAUAACUUCUAUUGACUUUGUAGAUUCCUAGUUUCCCCACAUGUGGCUAUGCUUGAAUCAACUUGUAAAAGUCUCUUUAUAGUCUGUUGAUGUUCAUGCAGGCACUAAAAGGCCACGGUCGGCCUACUUAGAUGAUCCACUCCACCCUGGGCUCCGGAAGAUGUUCCAGGGCAUUUGCCUUUACUUGACCCUAUGCUGAGAAGCUACCAAUAUUUUUCUUUCCCCAAAUUGGUUUUAUUUGUACCCUUUAUAUAUUAAAUAUUAGAGUAUUGGCCAA